This 956-nucleotide ribosomal RNA is filed under the name Paenarthrobacter nicotinovorans. RNAcentral's name for it is "bacterial SSU rRNA". It matches the Rfam family "Bacterial small subunit ribosomal RNA", at positions 36 to 1004 of the family's 1533-position model. The record is from RNAcentral. Lineage: Bacteria; Bacillati; Actinomycetota; Actinomycetes; Micrococcales; Micrococcaceae.
CUGGCGGCGUGCUUAACACAUGCAAGUCGAACGAUGAUCCCAGCUUGCUGGGGGAUUAGUGGCGAACGGGUGAGUAACACGUGAGUAACCUGCCCUUGACUCUGGGAUAAGCCUGGGAAACUGGGUCUAAUACCGGAUAUGACUCCUCAUCGCAUGGUGGGGGGUGGAAAGCUUUUGUGGUUUUGGAUGGACUCGCGGCCUAUCAGCUUGUUGGUGGGGUAAUGGCCUACCAAGGCGACGACGGGUAGCCGGCCUGAGAGGGUGACCGGCCACACUGGGACUGAGACACGGCCCAGACUCCUACGGGAGGCAGCAGUGGGGAAUAUUGCACAAUGGGCGCAAGCCUGAUGCAGCGACGCCGCGUGAGGGAUGACGGCCUUCGGGUUGUAAACCUCUUUCAGUAGGGAAGAAGCGAAAGUGACGGUACCUGCAGAAGAAGCGCCGGCUAACUACGUGCCAGCAGCCGCGGUAAUACGUAGGGCGCAAGCGUUAUCCGGAAUUAUUGGGCGUAAAGAGCUCGUAGGCGGUUUGUCGCGUCUGCUGUGAAAGACCGGGGCUCAACUCCGGUUCUGCAGUGGGUACGGGCAGACUAGAGUGCAGUAGGGGAGACUGGAAUUCCUGGUGUAGCGGUGAAAUGCGCAGAUAUCAGGAGGAACACCGAUGGCGAAGGCAGGUCUCUGGGCUGUAACUGACGCUGAGGAGCGAAAGCAUGGGGAGCGAACAGGAUUAGAUACCCUGGUAGUCCAUGCCGUAAACGUUGGGCACUAGGUGUGGGGGACAUUCCACGUUUUCCGCGCCGUAGCUAACGCAUUAAGUGCCCCGCCUGGGGAGUACGGCCGCAAGGCUAAAACUCAAAGGAAUUGACGGGGGCCCGCACAAGCGGCGGAGCAUGCGGAUUAAUUCGAUGCAACGCGAAGAACCUUACCAAGGCUUGACAUGAACCGGUAAUACCUGGA